RNAcentral lists this unclassified non-coding RNA (253 nucleotides) under uncultured fungus. RNAcentral's name for it is "sequence contains ITS1, 5.8S rRNA gene". The stretch from base 205 to 253 matches the Rfam family "5.8S ribosomal RNA", at positions 1 to 49 of the family's 154-position model. Lineage: Eukaryota; Fungi. The record is from RNAcentral.
UUUCCGUAGGUGAACCUGCGGAAGGAUCAUUACUGGGUUAAUAACAGGCUUUCUAGCCUGCCACCCGCCCUCUGUCAUUCGCAAUUAUCUUGCUUCGGCCGCUGGUUGCGCGAGUGUACUCUGUAUGUUCGCGGGGCCACGGUCGGUCUCCCAACUCUUUGAAUAUAUGUAUGAAGUCUGAAGAAAAUGAUAAAUGAAAAGCAAAACUUUCAACAACGGAUCUCUUGGUUCUGGCAUCGAUGAAGAACGCAGC